GACGAACGCUGGCGGCGUGCUUAACACAUGCAAGUCGAACGGAAAGGCCCUGCUUUUGUGGGGUGCUCGAGUGGCGAACGGGUGAGUAACACGUGAGUAACCUGCCCUUGACUUUGGGAUAACUUCAGGAAACUGGGGCUAAUACCGGAUAGGAGCUCCUGCUGCAUGGUGGGGGUUGGAAAGUUUCGGCGGUUGGGGAUGGACUCGCGGCUUAUCAGCUUGUUGGUGGGGUAGUGGCUUACCAAGGCUUUGACGGGUAGCCGGCCUGAGAGGGUGACCGGCCACAUUGGGACUGAGAGACGGCCCAGACUGCUACGGGAGGCAGCAGUGGGGAAUAUUGCACAAUGGGCGGAAGCCUGAUGCAGCAACGCCGCGUGCGGGAUGACGGCCUUCGGGUUGUAAUCCGCUUUCGCCUGUGACGAAGCGUGAGUGACGGUAAUGGGUAAAGAAGCACCGGCUAACUACGUG
Molecule: ribosomal RNA, 468 nt
Filed under: uncultured bacterium
Lineage: Bacteria
Description: partial 16S ribosomal RNA
Rfam family: Bacterial small subunit ribosomal RNA
Source: RNAcentral